CGCAUUUUCCACCAAUUGCGUAACGUCUGCGGAUCCGCUCCGGAACGGCGGCGGAGUCAAUAGGUUUCCAUUAAAGUCAAUAUGUGUAUUUCCACGGACUGUGGAAACGGCUGCUCGGCAGUCC
Molecule: long non-coding RNA, 124 nt
Organism: Etheostoma spectabile (orangethroat darter)
Lineage: Eukaryota; Metazoa; Chordata; Actinopteri; Perciformes; Percidae
Exons: 3
Source: RefSeq, a predicted model, not a curated record